Long non-coding RNA from Sycon ciliatum, 151 nucleotides. RefSeq lists it as uncharacterized. The transcript is spliced from 2 exons. The record is from RefSeq and is a predicted model, not a curated record. NCBI's taxonomy places the organism in Eukaryota, Metazoa, Porifera, Calcarea, Leucosolenida, Sycettidae.
UAUUGAUAUGUAUGUAGUCAGUAGCAGGAAAACCUAGAUACAUAUACAUGUCAUGUGGAUAUGCAGUGAGAGACAGGCAGAGCCAGGCAGUGAGAGACAGGCAGAGCCAGGCAGAGCCAGGCAGUGAGAGACAGGCAGAGACAGGCAGAGA